This 1021-nucleotide ribosomal RNA is filed under the name marine arctic deep-sea bacterium FF8a. RNAcentral's name for it is "bacterial SSU rRNA". It matches the Rfam family "Bacterial small subunit ribosomal RNA", at positions 96 to 1119 of the family's 1533-position model. The record is from RNAcentral.
CGGCGGACGGGUGAGUAAUGCAUAGAAUCUGCCCGAUAGUGGGGAUAACCUGGGGAAACCCAGGCUAAUACCGCAUACGUCCUACGGGAGAAAGGGGGCUCCGGCUCCCGCUAUGGGAUGAGCCUAUGUCGGAUUAGCUAGUUGGUGAGGUAACGGCUCACCAAGGCCACGAUCCGUAGCUGGUCUGAGAGGAUGAUCAGCCACAUCGGGACUGAGACACGGCCCGAACUCCUACGGGAGGCAGCAGUGGGGAAUAUUGGACAAUGGGGGAAACCCUGAUCCAGCCAUGCCGCGUGUGUGAAGAAGGCCCUCGGGUUGUAAAGCACUUUCAGCGAGGAAGAACGCCUAGCGGUUAAUACCCGCUAGGAAAGACAUCACUCGCAGAAGAAGCACCGGCUAACUCCGUGCCAGCAGCCGCGGUAAUACGGAGGGUGCAAGCGUUAAUCGGAAUUACUGGGCGUAAAGCGCGCGUAGGUGGCUUGAUAAGCCGGUUGUGAAAGCCCCGGGCUCAACCUGGGAACGGCAUCCGGAACUGUCAAGCUAGAGUGCAGGAGAGGAAGGUAGAAUUCCCGGUGUAGCGGUGAAAUGCGUAGAGAUCGGGAGGAAUACCAGUGGCGAAGGCGGCCUUCUGGACUGACACUGACACUGAGGUGCGAAAGCGUGGGUAGCAAACAGGAUUAGAUACCCUGGUAGUCCACGCCGUAAACGAUGUCGACCAGCCGUUGGGUGCCUAGCGCACUUUGUGGCGAAGUUAACGCGAUAAGUCGACCGCCUGGGGAGUACGGCCGCAAGGUUAAAACUCAAAUGAAUUGACGGGGGCCCGCACAAGCGGUGGAGCAUGUGGUUUAAUUCGAUGCAACGCGAAGAACCUUACCUACUCUUGACAUCCCUGCGAAUUUGGUAGAGAUACCUUAGUGCCUUCGGGAACGCAGAGACAGGUGCUGCAUGGCUGUCGUCAGCUCGUGUUGUGAAAUGUUGGGUUAAGUCCCCGUAACGAGCGCAACCCUUGUCCUUAUUUGCC